AACGCUGGCCGGCAUGCCUAAGACAUGCAAGUCGAACGAGGCGGCCCACUGAUUGUAUGGAAGUUGGAGUGCUUGCACAAAGNUGGNCAUGCUUGACGUGGAUCUUCCGCCUAGUGGCGCAAGGGUGAGUAACACGUGGGUAAUCUGCCUUCGAGUCUGGAAUAACAGUUAGAAAUGAUUACUAAUGCCGGAUGAUAUGGAGAACGAUACGUCAUUCUUUAUUAAAAGGGGCCUUUAAAGCCUCGCUUAAAGAUGAGCCUGCGCCGUAUUAGCUAGUUGGUGGGGUAACGGCCUACCAAGGCGACGAUGCGCAGCCGACCUGAGAGGGUGAUCGGCCACACUGGGACUGAGACACGGCCCAGACUCCUACGGGAGACAGCAGUUAGGAAUAUUCGUCAAUGGGGGAAACCCUGAACGAGCAAUGCCGCGUGAAGGAUGACGGUCCUCUGGAUUGUAAACUUCUGUUGUUAGGGAAGAACGACCUGUAUAGGAAAUGAUACAGGAGUGACGGUACCUUUCAAGAAAGCUCCGGCUAACUACGUGCCAGCAGCCGCGGUAAUACGUAGGGAGCGAGCGUUAUCCGGAUUUAUUGGGUGUAAAGGGUGCGUAGGCGGUUUGAUAAGUCUGUGGUUUAAGCCCGAAGCUUAACUUCGGUUCGCCACAGAAACUGUUUUACUUGAGUAUGGUAGAGGCAAGUGGAAUUUCUAGUGUAGCGGUUAAAUGCGUAGAUAUUAGAGGAACACCAGUGGC
RNAcentral lists this ribosomal RNA (750 nucleotides) under uncultured rumen bacterium. Its description in RNAcentral is "bacterial SSU rRNA". It matches the Rfam family "Bacterial small subunit ribosomal RNA", at positions 32 to 716 of the family's 1533-position model. The record is from RNAcentral.